UACGUAGGGUGCAAGCGUUAAUCGGAAUUACUGGGCGUAAAGCGUGCGCAGGCGGUUUUGUAAGUCUGUCGUGAAAUCCCCCGGGCUCAACCUGGGAAUUGCGAUGGAGACUGCAAGGCUAGAAUCUGGCAGAGGGGGGUAGAAUUCCACGUGUAGCAGUGAAAUGCGUAGAGAUGUGGAGGAACACCGAUGGCGAAGGCAGCCCCCUGGGUCAAGAUUGACGCUCAUGCACGAAAGCGUGGGGAGC
RNAcentral lists this ribosomal RNA (247 nucleotides) under uncultured bacterium. Its description in RNAcentral is "partial 16S ribosomal RNA". It matches the Rfam family "Bacterial small subunit ribosomal RNA", at positions 524 to 769 of the family's 1533-position model. The record is from RNAcentral.